CCUAUGAACUCCGAUCCCAUCUAAAACGAAAGUCUGUGUUCAUUGCUCCAGCAUCGACGGUUGGAGGUGACACUGCUUCAGACUGGUACUGACGAAUGGCUGGAGAGGGCUGGAUGGAGGACAGGUUCUGUAAGGAGAAGAGAAGGAAGAAAAGUGUAGACGAGGAGGAGGAAGGAUGAGGAAGAAAAUGAGGAGAAAAUGAUGAAGUAUGAUCGGGGGAGAAAAGGAGAAGAAGAAGAGUGGUAUGAGGAAAUAGGAAACAAACACACAGAUAUAAUACCACCUCCUGAAGGGACUCUACCUGACAACCACACACGUUUUGUAGGGAUAUUUUCAUAAAAUGCUAUUUUACGUUAACCUGAUAAAGAAUAGACUCGUGAUCACUUGCAUAUUCAUUGGGUUUUAAUUGAUGAAACAUUUAACCAGGGCUAAAAUUAUUUUUCCAGACAGUAUAAUUAUCUUGAAUAUUUCCAUAUUUAAUUGUUAAUAGAGACUGAUGAAGAAUAAGGUGCAAAGUUUGGAUUUCUAUGUGUGUCAAAUUCAACAGCUGUGCUCAGUUUUUCUCCUUACCUCCUGAAAAUGGCAAUUAAAGGUGAAUUUCCCACA
Long non-coding RNA from Esox lucius (northern pike), 606 nucleotides. RefSeq lists it as uncharacterized. The transcript is spliced from 2 exons. The record is from RefSeq and is a predicted model, not a curated record. Lineage: Eukaryota; Metazoa; Chordata; Actinopteri; Esociformes; Esocidae.